This 497-nucleotide ribosomal RNA is filed under the name uncultured bacterium. Its description in RNAcentral is "partial 16S ribosomal RNA". It matches the Rfam family "Bacterial small subunit ribosomal RNA", at positions 28 to 507 of the family's 1533-position model. The record is from RNAcentral.
GAUGAACGCUGGCGGCGUGCCUAAUACAUGCAAGUCGAGCGAACAGACGAGGAGCUUGCUCCUCUGACGUUAGCGGCGGACGGGUGAGUAACACGUGGAUAACCUACCUAUAAGACUGGGAUAACUUCGGGAAACCGGAGCUAAUACCGGAUAACAUGUUGAACCGCAUGGUUCAACAGUGAAAGACGGUCUUGCUGUCACUUAUAGAUGGAUCCGCGCCGCAUUAGCUAGUUGGUAAGGUAACGGCUUACCAAGGCAACGAUGCGUAGCCGACCGGAGAGGGGGAUCGGCCACACUGGAACGGAGACACGGACAAGACUCCUACGGGAGGGAGCAGAAGGGAAUCUUCCGCAAUGGGCGAAAGCCUGACGGAGCAACGCCGCGUGAGUGAAGAAGGUCUUCGGAUCGUAAAACUCUGUUAUUAGGGAAAAACAAAUUUGUAAUUAACUAUGCACGGCUUGACGGUACCUAAUAAAAAAGCCACGGCUAACUACGUG